CAAUCCAGGAGGGGAGGUGGUCGGAUGCAGCUGCCGGUUCAUGGAUACCUGUCCGGUGCAUGCAGCGCUGUUGAGCCUGCGCACCUGUAUAGGUUUUGCAUGACCCGGGAGAUGAACCUACCAGCAUCUUUCCCUCGUGCUUG
Molecule: microRNA precursor, 143 nt
Filed under: Triticum aestivum (bread wheat)
Lineage: Eukaryota; Viridiplantae; Streptophyta; Magnoliopsida; Poales; Poaceae
Description: pre miRNA MIR159
Source: RNAcentral